UAAAUUAAUAUAUUAUAAAGAUAAAGUUAGUAUAUUAAUUUGAUUAUAUUUUUUAUAUCUACCUGAACCAAACACCGACAAUGGAAAUGAUUUAUUCCAAUUCCGAUUCAGGUGAUGAACCAAACAAAAUUAGGUAAUGAGUCAUUUCGAUUCCGAUUCCAGCUUAUUUCGAUUCCAAUUCCGACUUCGAACCAAACACGCCCUAAACCUUUAAAUCCUAAAAUCCUAAACCCUAAACAUUAAAUCCUAAAAUCUAAACCCUUAAAGUAUAUAUAUUUUUAAAUAAAAAUAUUUUUUAAAAAAUUAUAAUAGAAUGAAUAAAUUUUAGCAGUACAUUUUAUUUUAUUUUAUUAUUAUUAUUAUUUUUUUAAGAGAUAGGUAGCACGCUAUCCGCUUCCUUUAUUUCAUUUAGAAAUAAAUUUGGCUGGAAAUGUGAAUCAACUAGGAUUCGAACUUGGGACUCGUGUAUCAACUAUCAAGCCCUUUGCCACUUGCUCUAGGGACAGUGAGUCCGGGGGUACGAAGUUG
RNAcentral lists this long non-coding RNA (528 nucleotides) under Ananas comosus (pineapple). RNAcentral describes it as "long non-coding RNA (ACOM_LNC021005)". Lineage: Eukaryota; Viridiplantae; Streptophyta; Magnoliopsida; Poales; Bromeliaceae. The record is from RNAcentral.